UACGAAGGGGGCUAGCGUUGCUCGGAAUCACUGGGCGUAAAGGGUGCGUAGGCGGGUCUUUAAGUCAGGGGUGAAAUCCUGGAGCUCAACUCCAGAACUGCCUUUGAUACUGAGGAUCUUGAGUUCGGGAGAGGUGAGUGGAACUGCGAGUGUAGAGGUAAAAUUCGUAGAUAUUCGCAAGAACACCAGUGGCGAAGGCGGCUCACUGGCCCGAUACUGACGCUGAGGCACGAAAGCGUGGGGAGCAAACAGG
RNAcentral lists this ribosomal RNA (253 nucleotides) under uncultured bacterium. RNAcentral's name for it is "partial 16S ribosomal RNA". It matches the Rfam family "Bacterial small subunit ribosomal RNA", at positions 524 to 776 of the family's 1533-position model. The record is from RNAcentral.